Molecule: ribosomal RNA, 440 nt
Filed under: uncultured bacterium
Lineage: Bacteria
Description: bacterial SSU rRNA
Rfam family: Bacterial small subunit ribosomal RNA
Source: RNAcentral
CCUACGGGAGGCUGCAGUGGGGAAUAUUGCACAAUGGGCGCAAGCCUGAUGCAGCGACGCCGCGUGAGCGAUGAAGGCCUUCGGGUCGUAAAGCUCUGUCCUAAGGGAAGAAUAAUGACGGUACCUUAGGAGGAAGCCCCGGCUAACUACGUGCCAGCAGCCGCGGUAAUACGUAGGGGGCGAGCGUUAUCCGGAAUCACUGGGCGUAAAGGGUGCGUAGGCGGCCCUGCAAGUCAGGAGUUAAAUCCCUCGGCUCAACCGAGGUCAGCUCUUGAAACUGUAGGGCUUGAGUGCCGGAGAGGAGCGCGGAAUUCCUAGUGUAGGGGUGAAACGCGUAGGUAUUGGGAGGGACGCCAGUGGCGAAGGCGGCUAUCUGGACUGCAGCGGACGCUGAGGCACGAAAGCGUGGGGUGCGAACAGGAUUAGAUACCCGAGUAGUC